Molecule: ribosomal RNA, 772 nt
Filed under: uncultured Acaulosporaceae
Lineage: Eukaryota; Fungi; Glomeromycota; Glomeromycetes; Diversisporales; Acaulosporaceae
Description: eukaryotic LSU rRNA
Rfam family: Eukaryotic large subunit ribosomal RNA
Source: RNAcentral
GUCAAGUAAGAAUACCCGCUGAACUUAAGCAUAUCAAUAAGCGGAGGAAAAGAAACUAACUAGGAUUCCCUUAGUAACGGCGAGUGAACUGGGAAGAGCUCAAAUUUUAAAUCACCUUUUGGUGAAUUGUAAUUUGAAGAAAGUGUUUUGACUUUUCAGUUUAAUCUAAAUCCUUUGGGAUGAGGUAUCAUAGAGGGUGAGAACCCCGUUCCUGAUUAGACCUCGAAUUGCAUUAAUUCACUUUCCAAGAGUCGAGUUGUUUGGGAUUGCAGCUCAAAAUGGGUGGUAAAUUUCACCUAAGGCUAAAUAUAUGCAAGAGACCGAUAGCGAACAAGUACCGUGAGGGAAAGAUGAAAAGAACUUUGAAAAGAGAGUUAAACAGUACGUGAAAUUGUUGAAAGGGAAACGAUUGAAGUCAGUCAUGCUAGUGAGAAAUCAGCAAGGUGGUUUACUUCCUUGUGUACUUUCUUUCAGCAGGUUAGCAUCAAUUUUGGUUGUCAUCAAAUAAUUGGGGGAAUGUGGCUUCUCUUCGGUGAAGUGUUUAUAGACCCUGGUAGAUGUGGCGACUGGGAUUGAGGAUUGCAGCGGAUGCCUUUGGCUAGUCGCCUAUCUUCUGACUGUUACCUCGCUUUUGACAGCUUGCUGAUGAUCGUGGGAUUUGAUGGUUUAGAAGGUUAGAGUGUAUAUAAAUUCGCUAAGGAUGCUGACGUAAUGGCUUUAAACGACCCGUCUUGAAGCACGGACCAAGGAGUCUAACAUAUGUGCGAGUGUU